This 464-nucleotide ribosomal RNA is filed under the name uncultured bacterium. Its description in RNAcentral is "partial 16S ribosomal RNA". It matches the Rfam family "Bacterial small subunit ribosomal RNA", at positions 339 to 795 of the family's 1533-position model. The record is from RNAcentral.
CUACGGGCGGCUCCAGUGGGGAAUAUUGCACAAUGGGCGCAAGCCUGAUGCAGCCAUGCCGCGUGUAUGAAGAAGGCCUUCGGGUUGUAAAGUACUUUCAGCGGGGAGGAAGGGAGUAAAGUUAAUACCUUUGCUCAUUGACGUUACCCGCAGAAGAAGCACCGGCUAACUCCGUGCCAGCAGCCGCGGUAAUACGGAGGGUGCAAGCGUUAAUCGGAAUUACUGGGCGUAAAGGGCACGCAGGCGGUUUGUUAAGUCAGAUGUGAAAUCCCCGGGCUCAACCUGGGAACUGCAUCUGAGACUGGCAAGCUUGAGUCUCGUAGAGGGGGGUAGAAUUCCAGGUGUAGCGGUGAAAUGCGUAGAGAUCUGGAGGAAUACCGGUGGCGAAGGCGGCCCCCUGGACGAAGACUGACGCUCAGGUGCGAAAGCGUGGGGAGCAAACAGGAUUAGAUACCCGGGUAGUC